CUACUACACAACCAAUUCUUGUACUUUUCUCUUCACAAAAUCCGUUGUUAUUUUCAUUUCUCAUCAACCAAAACAACACAUACACACACCAAUGGAAGGAACUAGUAGCAUAGAUCAAGAGAGCACUACUAGUGACUCUCUCUCCAUUGCUCCGGCGGCAUCGUCAUCGAUGGUUGUAAAGCAACAACCAUCGAUGACGACGACCAAGCCGCCGGAGAGUCUUUGUAGGAUGGGGAGUGGAACAAGUAGUGUGAUAAUUGAUGGUGAAAAUGGUGUUGAAGCUGAAUCAAGAAAACUCCCAUCUUCAAAAUACAAAGGUGUGGUCCCUC
RNAcentral lists this long non-coding RNA (329 nucleotides) under Capsicum annuum. RNAcentral's name for it is "long non-coding RNA (CANN_LNC018209)". Lineage: Eukaryota; Viridiplantae; Streptophyta; Magnoliopsida; Solanales; Solanaceae. The record is from RNAcentral.